RNAcentral lists this ribosomal RNA (433 nucleotides) under uncultured bacterium. RNAcentral's name for it is "partial 16S ribosomal RNA". It matches the Rfam family "Bacterial small subunit ribosomal RNA", at positions 29 to 507 of the family's 1533-position model. The record is from RNAcentral.
AACGAACGCUGGCGGCAUGCCUAACACAUGCAAGUCGAACGAGGCCUUCGGGUCUAGUGGCGCACGGGUGCGUAACGCGUGGGAACCUGCCCUUAGGUUCGGAAUAACUCCCCGAAAGAGGUGCUAAUACCGGAUAAUGUCUUCGGACCAAAGAUUUGUCGCCUUUGGAUGGGCCCGCGUUGGAUUAGCUAGUUGGUAGGGUAAAAGCCUACCAAGGCGACGAUCCAUAGCUGGUCUGAGAGGAUGAUCAGCCACACUGGGACUGAGACACGGCCCAGACUCCUACGGGAGGCAGCAGUGGGGAAUAUUGGACAAUGGGCGAAAGCCUGAUCCAGCAAUGCCGCGUGAGUGAUGAAGGCCUUAGGGUUGUAAAGCUCUUUUACCCGGGAUGAUAAUGACAGUACCGGGAGAAUAAGCUCCGGCUAACUCCGUG